This 550-nucleotide ribosomal RNA is filed under the name Enterococcus avium. RNAcentral's name for it is "bacterial SSU rRNA". It matches the Rfam family "Bacterial small subunit ribosomal RNA", at positions 799 to 1352 of the family's 1533-position model. The record is from RNAcentral. Lineage: Bacteria; Bacillati; Bacillota; Bacilli; Lactobacillales; Enterococcaceae.
GCCGUACGAUGAGUGCUAGUGUUGGAGGGUUUCCGCCCUUCAGUGCUGCAGCUAACGCAUUAAGCACUCCGCCUGGGGAGUACGACCGCAAGGUUGAAACUCAAAGGAAUUGACGGGGGCCCGCACAAGCGGUGGAGCAUGUGGUUUAAUUCGAAGCAACGCGAAGAACCUUACCAGGUCUUGACAUCCUUUGACCACUCUAGAGAUAGAGCUUCCCCUUCGGGGGCAAAGUGACAGGUGGUGCAUGGUUGUCGUCAGCUCGUGUCGUGAGAUGUUGGGUUAAGUCCCGCAACGAGCGCAACCCUUAUUGUUAGUUGCCAUCAUUUAGUUGGGCACUCUAGCGAGACUGCCGGUGACAAACCGGAGGAAGGUGGGGAUGACGUCAAAUCAUCAUGCCCCUUAUGACCUGGGCUACACACGUGCUACAAUGGGAAGUACAACGAGUCGCGAAGUCGCGAGGCUAAGCUAAUCUCUUAAAGCUUCUCUCAGUUCGGAUUGUAGGCUGCAACUCGCCUACAUGAAGCCGGAAUCGCUAGUAAUCGCGGAUCAG